RNAcentral lists this ribosomal RNA (127 nucleotides) under Pseudomonas aeruginosa. Its description in RNAcentral is "partial 16S ribosomal RNA". It matches the Rfam family "Bacterial small subunit ribosomal RNA", at positions 1407 to 1533 of the family's 1533-position model. RNAcentral also lists the same sequence under 14 other names. The record is from RNAcentral. Lineage: Bacteria; Pseudomonadati; Pseudomonadota; Gammaproteobacteria; Pseudomonadales; Pseudomonadaceae.
GGAGUGGGUUGCAAAAGAAGUAGGUAGCUUAACCUUCGGGAGGGCGCUUACCACUUUGUGAUUCAUGACUGGGGUGAAGUCGUAACAAGGUAACCGUAGGGGAACCUGCGGUUGGAUCACCUCCUUA